GACUGGAUAGCUCAAUCAGUUGAGCAUGGUGCUGAUAACAUCAAGGUCAUGGGUUCGAUUCCCGUUUGGUCU
Molecule: transfer RNA, 72 nt
Filed under: Apaloderma vittatum (bar-tailed trogon)
Lineage: Eukaryota; Metazoa; Chordata; Aves; Trogoniformes; Trogonidae
Rfam family: tRNA
About the family: Transfer RNA (tRNA) molecules are approximately 80 nucleotides in length. Their secondary structure includes four short double-helical elements and three loops (D, anti-codon, and T loops).
Source: Rfam by way of RNAcentral